This 451-nucleotide ribosomal RNA is filed under the name uncultured organism. Its description in RNAcentral is "partial 16S ribosomal RNA". It matches the Rfam family "Bacterial small subunit ribosomal RNA", at positions 334 to 801 of the family's 1533-position model. The record is from RNAcentral.
CACUCCUGCGGGAGGCAGCAGUGGGGAAUAUUGGACAAUGGGCGCAAGCCUGAUCCAGCCAUGCCGCGUGAGUGAUGAAGGCCCUAGGGUUGUAAAGCUCUUUCACCGGUGAAGAUAAUGACGGUAACCGGAGAAGAAGCCCCGGCUAACUUCGUGCCAGCAGCCGCGGUAAUACGAAGGGGGCUAGCGUUGUUCGGAUUUACUGGGCGUAAAGCGCACGUAGGCGGACUAUUAAGUCAGGGGUGAAAUCCCGGGGCUCAACCCCGGAACUGCCUUUGAUACUGGUAGUCUUGAGUUCGAGAGAGGUGAGUGGAAUUCCGAGUGUAGAGGUGAAAUUCGUAGAUAUUCGUAGGAACACCAGUGGCGAAGGCGGCUCACUGGCUCGAUACUGACGCUGAGGUGCGAAAGCGUGGGGAGCAAACAGGAUUAGAUACCCCGGUAGUCCCAUGAU